AUUGAACGCUGGCGGCAUGCCUUACACAUGCAAGUCGAACGGCAGCACGGGAGCAAUCCUGGUGGCGAGUGGCGAACGGGUGAGUAAUAUAUCGGAACGUGCCCGGUCGUGGGGGAUAACGUAGCGAAAGUUACGCUAAUACCGCAUACGAUCUAAGGAUGAAAGCGGGGGACUCGCAAGAGCCUCGCGCGAUUGGAGCGGCCGAUAUCAGAUUAGGUAGUCGGUGGGGUAAAGGCUCACCAAGCCAACGAUCUGUAGCUGGUCUGAGAGGACGACCAGCCACACUGGAACUGAGACACGGUCCAGACUCCUACGGGAGGCAGCAGUGGGGGAAUUUUGGACAAUGGACGCAAGUCUGAUCCAGCCAUUCCGCGUGCAGGAUGAAGGCCCUCGGGUUGUAAACUGCUUUUGUACGGAACGAAAAGGUUUCUAUUAAUACUAGGAGCUCAUGACGGUACCGUAAGAAUAAGCAACCGGCUAACUACGUGCCAGCAGCCG
This 498-nucleotide ribosomal RNA is filed under the name uncultured bacterium. RNAcentral's name for it is "bacterial SSU rRNA". It matches the Rfam family "Bacterial small subunit ribosomal RNA", at positions 30 to 517 of the family's 1533-position model. The record is from RNAcentral.